RNAcentral lists this ribosomal RNA (381 nucleotides) under uncultured bacterium. Its description in RNAcentral is "bacterial SSU rRNA". It matches the Rfam family "Bacterial small subunit ribosomal RNA", at positions 28 to 409 of the family's 1533-position model. The record is from RNAcentral.
GACGAACGCUGGCGGCGUGCUUAACACAUGCAAGUCGAGCGGUAAGGCCCUUUCGGGGGUACACGAGCGGCGAACGGGUGAGUAACACGUGGGUGACCUGCCCUCAGCUCUGGGAUAAGCCUGGGAAACCGGGUCUAAUACUGGAUAUGACUCCAUGACGCAUGUUGUGGGGUGAAAGCCUUGUGCGGCUGAGGAUGGGGCCCGCGGCCCUAUCAGCUUGUUGGUGGGGUGANGGCCUACCAAGGCGACGACGGGUAGCCGGCCUGAGAGGGCGACCGGCCACACUGGGACUGAGACACGGCCCAGACUCCUACGGGAGGCAGCAGUGGGGAAUCUUGCGCAAUGGGCGAAAGCCUGACGCAGCGACGCCGCGUGAGGGAU